UCCUGUUAGGAAUAGAAGGAGAACCUCGUCCUAACAUGAGCUAAAAUUGACUGUCGAAAAUAAGAGGAGAACCUCGUCCUGACACAAACAAAGACCCAGUCGAUCAAGAUCGGAUGAGGAGAAAAGCCUCCUCAACGGCUCCUCUACGCUCUCACGACCCCGUUAAGAGCAAAGAAAAAACCCUCACUCGAACACAAAAAAAAGAAGAAGGGGGG
Molecule: long non-coding RNA, 215 nt
Filed under: Elaeis guineensis (African oil palm)
Lineage: Eukaryota; Viridiplantae; Streptophyta; Magnoliopsida; Arecales; Arecaceae
Description: long non-coding RNA (EGUI_LNC046030)
Source: RNAcentral